Molecule: regulatory RNA element, 86 nt
Organism: Modestobacter marinus
Lineage: Bacteria; Bacillati; Actinomycetota; Actinomycetes; Geodermatophilales; Geodermatophilaceae
Rfam family: Actino-pnp RNA
Source: Rfam
GCCGGUCCUCGGUAGUGGCCCCCGGGACGCAGCGAGCCUGAGAAGCAGGAACCCGCGACACCCGAGGGCUUCGAUCGAAGACCGGU